UGGCAGUGUGAUUAGCUGGUUGAAGAAGAUUAUAAAUUCAACAGCUCAUUAAACUGCCUCU
Molecule: microRNA precursor, 61 nt
Filed under: Strongyloides ratti
Lineage: Eukaryota; Metazoa; Nematoda; Chromadorea; Rhabditida; Strongyloididae
Description: microRNA str-mir-34c precursor
Gene: str-mir-34c
Source: miRBase by way of RNAcentral